RNAcentral lists this ribosomal RNA (457 nucleotides) under Carcharhinus porosus (smalltail shark). RNAcentral's name for it is "partial 12S ribosomal RNA". It matches the Rfam family "Bacterial small subunit ribosomal RNA", at positions 878 to 1533 of the family's 1533-position model. The record is from RNAcentral. Lineage: Eukaryota; Metazoa; Chordata; Chondrichthyes; Carcharhiniformes; Carcharhinidae.
UACUACAAGCGCUAGCUUAAAACCCAAAGGACUUGGCGGUAUUCCACACCCACCUAGAGGAGCCUGUUCUAUAACCGAUAAUCCCCGUUCAACCUCACCACUUCUUGCCAUUACCGUCUAUAUACCGCCGUCGUCAGCCCACCCUGUGAAGGACCAAAAGUAAGCAAAAAGAAUAAAACUCCAAAACGUCAGGUCGAGGUGUAGCAAAUGAAGUGGGAAGAAAUGGGCUACAUUUUUUCCCAAAAAUAUACGAAUGAUAAACUGAAAACAUACCUAAAGGUGGAUUUAGCAGUAAGAGAAGAUCAGAAUACUUCUCUGAAAUCGGCUCUGGGAUAAGCACACACCGCCCGUCACUCUCCUCAAAAAUAACUCACCAUUUCCAUAAAUACAUUCCUUCAACAAGAGGAGGCAAGUCGUAACAUGGUAAGUGUACUGGAAAGUGCACUUGGAAUCAAAA